UACGAAGGUGGCAAGCGUUACUCGGAAUUACUAGGCGUAAAGCGCAGGUAGGCGGUUUAAUAAGUCUUUUGUGAAAGCUCCCGGCUUAACUGGGAGAGGCCAAAGGAAACUAUUAGACUAGAGUGUGGUAGAGGAAACUGGAAUUCCCGGUGUAGCGGUGAAAUGCGUAGAUAUCGGGAGGAAUACCUAUGGCGAAAGCAGGUUUCUGGGCCAUCACUGACGCUGAGCUGCGAAAGCUAGGGGAGCAAACAGG
This 253-nucleotide ribosomal RNA is filed under the name uncultured bacterium. RNAcentral's name for it is "partial 16S ribosomal RNA". It matches the Rfam family "Bacterial small subunit ribosomal RNA", at positions 524 to 776 of the family's 1533-position model. The record is from RNAcentral.